Molecule: long non-coding RNA, 390 nt
Organism: Triticum aestivum (bread wheat)
Lineage: Eukaryota; Viridiplantae; Streptophyta; Magnoliopsida; Poales; Poaceae
Exons: 2
Source: RefSeq, a predicted model, not a curated record
AGUAAACAUUGCAGCAACACCACCCAGAUCCAGAUCAGAAAGAAGCUCCAGCAUCUCCUCAUGGCAAUCCUCGGCAAGAGUAAUAGCGUUGUGUGCCUCGUAGCGCUAGUGCUCAUAGCCACCGUUCUCUCCUCACGUGCCGACAAUGGAUGCGAUAUCGGUCCAUUUCCCAAGGAAAACUGUACUAAGCUAUGUCAUAAAGCAUGUGGUCAUGCCGGCGUUUGCCUCUUAGGAGAUGACGAGAAGUAUUACUGUUGUUGUGAACCAGUACGCCAAGAUGGAUCCAUGAGGCCUCAUAAGGUUGCUGAAAUGAUACAAACAUAGUGUCAUGGAUCACCAGAACCAUGUCGAAUAAAUGUGCUAGUUCUUGUUGAACUUGUAUCGAAUUUG